RNAcentral lists this non-coding RNA (27 nucleotides) under Rattus norvegicus (Norway rat). The record is from RNAcentral. Lineage: Eukaryota; Metazoa; Chordata; Mammalia; Rodentia; Muridae.
UGCGUGGUGCUGCUUUGGUACUGAGAU